AGCCAUGAUUAACAAAUCUGAUCUUCCUGUGGGUUAUUUGUGCUGAGUGACUCUCACCCACUGGGAGCAGCUCUCUGGUGCGACUUCCAGUAGUGCCAUGCAGCUGCCCAGUUUCCAUGAAAUAUCUUGCUGCGUAUCGAUUUACCCUGCUGAAUAAAUCUGCCCGAGGGGGAGACGCUUUCAAGAAGGGACGUGCAAUAUUUAUAACAUCUGCGGGACCAUCGAGAGAGCUCGAAGCAGCGGGUGGAGGAGGCUAAACUGCUCUUAUCUGCAUUCGUGAACAAGGAAAGAGUAAUGCCAAAGAGAGACUUGUGUGAAGCUGCUAACGCGGCACCGGGCAUUAAAAAUAAAAUUAUAUUAAAAAUAAAUUAAAAAUAAAAUUAUAUUAAAAUAAAAAACAGGAGAGAGGGUGCCUGCUGACCCUGGCUUGCAGCGUGGGGAAUCAGAGGCCUCGUGCACACCAAGGUCAACCUCUGGGCAUUCACUGAAGAGAAGCCAUCUGUUCCCAGGGCCUUGCAAGACGGUGUGAAAUCCUCUCUUGAUUCUGGUUUUGGUUUCCUUCCUGUCCUCUCGCGGGCACUGCCCUGUGCCGGCAGCUCCCACAGAGCCAGGGGAGGGCACGUGGAGGCAGGGGAGCUGGAGGAUGGCUGAGGACCACAUGAGCAAUGCAGAAAUGGCUGAGGACCUUCGCUGACCUUCUGCCCUUUACUUGACUGCCUGUUCCUUUAAAACAAAUUUACUGAUGGGGUUUCUUUUAAUUUUUUUUUUCUACCGCCAUCCCCAUGAGGCGUUCUUUCCUAUGAGUCAUGCACACCAUAAAGAAAUUACUGUUUGGCUCAAAGUUACGCUCCCAUGCCUGGAAUCAACAUUUUUUCAGUGAGAGAUAGGAAAUGAGCUGAAUUUGUGGGUGAUUCAUUAUUUACUAUUUUGACCUGAAAAGUGCUUUUGCCACUAGCUUUAAAAGAAGAGAAAAUCAUACAACAAGAUUCCUGAUACACGAAACCAAAGCUAUACGUGACUGAAGACACUGAGCAUGUUCUUUAAGGCCUUAUUUACGCCAUGUACAGAAAUGAUCCCUUUUAUCUUUUGAGGCUGAUUGUACAUUUCAUCAGGAUUAUUAAUUGUGUCAUUUCAGAAUUAUAUCUUACGUAUAUAAAAUACCCUUCAAGAGCUCAUUUCCUCAUAUGGCUAAGAAAUAUGGUGUUUCUUAUGCAUUUAUAUUCUUUUAUUUGAGCACAAUAUGACAUAAUGAGUUGUUUUUUAACCCCCUGCAUAGCCUGGAAGUAAAUAUCAUACAUGUACCUAUGGAGCAGUCCUGCGCACUGAGGCCCAUUUAAGCACAGAAAUGCAGAUUUGGAAUAAAGUGGAAUUCCAGAGGAUAAAAGAGCAAAUCGGAGCAAAACCCAGCAACCCAAAUCUGAUGCAACAGUCAGCGGCAGAGCCCCAGAAGUGACUUCCAUCAGCGACAGCUGAAAGGAAUUGUGGAAAAAAAAUGCAAAAAGGUUGAGAACUGAAGGAACACAGAGGCCCUUCUUGCUAGUGGGAUUUUUAAGAGUACUUUAGUAUUAAUUCCAGGUGGAUUAUAAAAGCUGUGAGUUGCCAGGAGGCUCCAGCAGUGCUGUUUGCCCGAGCUCCAGCCCAACAGGCAGGUCCUGGAGGCAGCCCAGCCCAUUGGGGACAGGGCUGUGACCAGAGCUGGUAAUGAGGAAUAAAAUGAUGGCACUCAGGAAAGGAUCGUGCAUCCCGAUCAAGUGGCACCUCCCAGAAAUGAUGUUCAGUUUAUUCACCUGAGGGCCUACCACCCUACUCGGGCACCCCUUGCUCCCCAGCUCACGCAGCCAGAUCACCACUCUCCAGAUGCAGCACUCAAGGUGCUACCAGACAAACCUUAAGCACAGAUGACCGAAGAAGACACAUUUCUGCUCACAGCCCCUUCACGUCACCAGAACCCUCCUGGGAGCAGUCAGAGAAACCCAGCCACACACAGGCUGCACGGAAACAGGGUUCCUUGCACCUUUCCAACUCUGCUGCUGAUUUUUCCUUGGCCUGGUGACUCCUCCCAGGCCGACACCCUGCCCGCUCUGCUGCAAUUUUCUUGUUUGAAGUGCCCUGCCUGGUUAGCAUAGCCAGCAUUACACCAGUUCCAUCAAAUGUCAAUACAGGUUUUAACUUCUGCUUCGUGUCAGGCCUGCUGAAGGUUUGCUCAAUGCCAGAGCUUGCCCAUUUUUCUUCAGCUCCAUCAGGUGGGAUUUGAAAUGUAUUCCCUCACCCUACAGGCUUGCCUCUGGGUGAGACAAAGCAGCUUUGAGGGCUCGGCCCCUCCACCUUCAUCACAACCAGUGCUGAUAUCAGAAAAUGUGAGGGCCUUGCCCCACACGUGACUGCGUGUGGGUCACAGACCUGUCUGGCGUGGGGCCUACCACAGACCUGUGAACCAACACUGACCAUAUAAACGCCAGGAAUCAGCCCUUCGCUUAAAGGAGUGAAAAUAAAAUCAGGACCAAGCCGUGAAAGCCUUGCUUGAACCCUUUAAAAGUCACUUUCUAAAAUUAGAUUUAGACAUUUAGGUCAUUAUAGAGCAGAUGCUGCCACCAAAUUUGUUUGGACGUAACUCACUGCAGCGCUUCUGCCAAUGGAAACAAAUUAGAAAAUGCUGGAUAACUCACCAAAUCCUCCUGAUUUAUUCCUUUAGAACUGAAGCAGUUGAAGAAAGUUCUUAAGUCGUGCAUCUCCAUCCUUGGCAGAUAUUUACAAGAAAAGGCAAUGAUUUUAAUUUUUACUGCAGGAAAUUGAAUGCAUCUGGGACCAAGGAGUCUCUUUUGUGGUAGCCACUACUUCAGGUGGGAGGGGAGGAGGAGGAGAAAGGGAUGAGGAAAUGAAGUUCCCAGAAAAAGGACAGAAUAUAUUUAUUUAAAUAUACAAACUAAAAUAUUGUUCAGAAUGCUUUCUCUUGGUUAAAGUGACCAUCAUAGCACCAUUCCCAGUUCAGUUCCCCCAGGAUGGCUUCUGGUUUUGAAGGUGGGUUUUUAAAGCGCAGCUGGCAUUUCUAUCCACAUUUUAAGUAGUCCUGUGUGGAGCCAGGAGUUGGACUCAGUGAUCCCUGUGGGCCCCUUUGAACUCAGGUUAUUCGAUGAUAUAAUGAUGAUUUCCUGAUUUCAUGUGGCAAUAUUUCCUUUCUAUGCUUCAUGCGAACAGAUGGAGGAAAGUAGAGGCCAUCGAUGACCUCUCUUCCCAUAAAAGCCACCCAAGACAUGCACAAUGUUGCCAACUCUUGCAAUUAUUUUUUUUGCAAAUCCCAUGAUUUGUAGUUAGGAAGAAGAAUGGUUUUAGCUGGAAGCAGCUAAGUCAGCAUUCACCACCCCAAAAAUAUCUUGAGUCACAGAAAGCCAGAGUUAAACAAGCAGAGCCCCUAAAAGCUAAUUUCCAAACAUUAGUGAGAUUUCAAGACAUCCCAUGAUUUUUGGAGGCUGAUUAAUGAGCCUGAGCAGCGGUGUGUACAGCUAGCACACAAGCAACAUCUAACAUUUUCCUGUUUUCGCUUGGCUGCAACUACUUUAAACAAUUACUUCAGCAGGGUUUAACUUCCAGCAGGGUAUCUGCACUGCUGCUUGUGGCGAGGAGACCAGCGGCUUCUUGACCAUCAUUGGACACACAAGGGAUGAUUAUUUAACGAAGAUGUUAAUUACCAGACAGUCAAGGCUUGUGUAGCUGCAGAGAAACCCCGAGACUUCCCUCCCAGUCCUCACCCGGGGCAGCGGUCAGGGGAAAUGAGCUCUGUUCCCCAUCCAAAGGGGUUGUCCUUGGCCAGCCAGUUUCACAAUCCGCUCGAGCUGUUGGGGUUCUUUCGCUAAUUCACAGCAGACCCAUUUUUAGCCUUUUUAACCUUGGAUGAGCGAUUUCGGAAAGAUGGGGCAGAUAUUACAAGAUGAGGCACUCCCCCAAAAGCUGUGGUAGGCCUGCAGUGACUGCAGCUUUUUGCAAGCUGUUUUACAGGAAAUGAAAUCUCAAUGGCAUUUCUGUCUCAUUUCUGAACCAGCCGACCACGUUCCUCUUCCUUUUCAGAGCAUGAACAAUGUGUAGCACAGUACAUACAUUACUACCCUGAACUCUGUUUUUGUUCAUUGUUAAGGCCGUUGAAAAUACAGUAUUUUCACACAGCUUCCUCUGCACAGCCAGCAGUUGACUACCAGCAAAUGCCCUGUGAGUACAGGAUGCACGCAGUACAGGGAAGAACGCUAUUAGUCUUGCAAAGUCAGGUCCGCAGAAACAAUGAAAUGACAGGAUCGAAACUUCCUAGGCAAGGUUAAUCUAGGACCCUUUUGUGUAAAGCUCGUAAUAAAGUCUUAUGCUAAAUUAUUAAAGAUCUGUUUAUGUCAUUGAAUGCCUGAGUGGCAAAGCAUUCAAAUAUGAGGUCUCUGCAUGUUCUGUUCACUUUUUGCAUCUUACAAUAUGCUGCUUAAACACUCCUUUAAAUCAUAAUUAAUGUCACCAUCAGGUUUACUGUGGCUCUCCUCUCAGUCUUGCCCCAUGAAUACCACCGGUGUUUAUUACUGAUGCACUUUCAGAUCAUUUUAAGGUAUGAAGAUUGAACUCCCCCGCAUUCUUUCCUUGGGGAACAAGGACAUAAACCUCAGAGGUGUCCACCCUCUGCGCCAGUUGCUGCCUAGAGCCCAAGAUUUUUGCAGAGGGCGUAGAGAUAAGGUAGAGUUUCAUUUACUCGACAUACAGCUUUAGGUGGCUCCCAUUACAGGAGUUAUUGACAGUUCUGGAGCUCUGAAUUAGAGCUCUCCAGAAAACAAAUCAUGAAUUACUUUGGGAAUUGAGUUUAACUCAAACUAUUUAGGGUAUGCAGACUCUUCUCCUAAACCUGCUUCAUGUCCAGAACAGGUCCUUGGCCUGUGUGGUGAAACAGACAGGUGUCACUCAGUGCCACCAUGAACCUGCUGGUUCUUGGUGCUGAUUUACACGAGGUUAAUUUACCCCUGAGAACAUGCCCUGUUGGGGUAUUACUUAAUUUAAUUUCAUGUUUGAAUGUGUUGGUGUAUGAGGGAGGCCGUGGAACCUCCCUGUGGAAGAGGAUCUGGGGCUUCCCCAGCCACAUCGGUGCUGCUGCAACACUUGAAAAGGCCACAGUGUGAAAUUCAUUCGCUGGACACUCGUUCGUCUGGGUUCUCAAGACAGCUCAGCCCUCAUAAGGUGAUUUUUCUGACCAUAAAUGAGAAAAAACUACCAACCUGACAAGACCAGGAUGCCUAACAUUGUGCGUGCCUGUGCAGACACUACUCCUUCCAGCACAACCAAAAGAGGCAGCCUGCGCUGGACUUACAAGCACACAAAGCUUUUUAUUUCAAGCAGUCCAACUCUGGUUUGAUACAGCCGGGAAUUUGGAUGCUGGUCUGGACAGUGGACUGAAGUGAGCAGCAGAUAUUACUCAGUCUUGGUUUUGGCAAUACAUUGGUGACCUGGUGAGUCCUCAUCUUGGCAAUACCCCCACCAUGAAGAAGCAGCAAUUCGCAGUUAGGUAUGAGAAGAAGCUCUUGGUUGUGGUCUUCAGCUUCCCCAAAUCCCUGCAUCCAGAAGAGAUACUUGCUCUCACUUUCAGACAGUCCUUAAAUGUACUUUUUGCUCUUUUAUGCUCCUUUCAGAUUUUAUGUGCUUUAUUUUAUGUGCUUUGAUGACAGUACAAAUAAUUUCUGGCCUUGAAACUAAAGGCUUGAGAAGGACAGAGACAGGCGGAAUGAAUAAAGUUUUAAAAAAUU
This is a long non-coding RNA of Anas platyrhynchos (mallard), 5759 nucleotides long. RefSeq lists it as uncharacterized. NCBI's taxonomy places the organism in Eukaryota, Metazoa, Chordata, Aves, Anseriformes, Anatidae. The record is from RefSeq and is a predicted model, not a curated record.